This 492-nucleotide ribosomal RNA is filed under the name uncultured bacterium. Its description in RNAcentral is "partial 16S ribosomal RNA". It matches the Rfam family "Bacterial small subunit ribosomal RNA", at positions 29 to 507 of the family's 1533-position model. The record is from RNAcentral.
AGUGAACGCUGGCGGUAGGCCUAACACAUGCAAGUCGAACGGCAGCACAGUAAGAGCUUGCUCUUACGGGUGGCGAGUGGCGGACGGGUGAGGAAUACAUCGGAAUCUACUUUUUCGUGGGGGAUAACGUAGGGAAACUUACGCUAAUACCGCAUACGACCUACGGGUGAAAGCAGGGGAUCUUCGGACCUUGCGCGAUUGAAUGAGCCGAUGUCGGAUUAGCUAGUUGGCGGGGUAAAGGCCCACCAAGGCGACGAUCCGUAGCUGGUCUGAGAGGAUGAUCAGACACAUUGGAACUGAGAAAAGGUCCAGAAUCCUAAGGGAGGCAGCAGUGGGGAAUAUUGGACAAUGGGCGCAAGCCUGAUCCAGCCAUACCGCGUGGGUGAAGAAGGCCUUCGGGUUGUAAAGCCCUUUUGUUGGGAAAGAAAAGCAGCAGGUUAAUACCCCGCUGUUCUGACGGUACCCAAAGAAUAAGCAACGGCUAACUUCGUG